Molecule: ribosomal RNA, 235 nt
Filed under: uncultured bacterium
Lineage: Bacteria
Description: partial 16S ribosomal RNA
Rfam family: Bacterial small subunit ribosomal RNA
Source: RNAcentral
AACGAACGCUGGCGGCGUGCCUGAGACAUGCAAGUCGUGGGAGAAAGUCGGAGCAAUCCGGCUAGUAAACCGGCGCACGGGUGAGUAACACGUGGACAACCUGCCUUGGAGUUCGGGAUAACCCGUCGAAAGACGGACUAAUACCGGAUAUGACCACGGGGAGUUCGCUCUCUGAGGUAAAAGAUGGCCUCUGCUCCUGCAAGCUAUCUCUUCGAGAGGGGUCCGCGUCCUACAG